GGCCGGGUGGCGAAAUUGGUAGACGCGCCGGACUCAAAAUCCGGUUCCAGCGAUGGAGUAAGGGUUCGAGUCCCUUCCCGGCUACCA
RNAcentral lists this transfer RNA (87 nucleotides) under Desulfobaculum bizertense. RNAcentral describes it as "Paradesulfovibrio bizertensis tRNA-Leu". It matches the Rfam family "tRNA". From Rfam's summary of the family: Transfer RNA (tRNA) molecules are approximately 80 nucleotides in length. The record is from RNAcentral. RNAcentral also lists the same sequence under 2 other names. Lineage: Bacteria; Pseudomonadati; Thermodesulfobacteriota; Desulfovibrionia; Desulfovibrionales; Desulfovibrionaceae.